Cavia porcellus (domestic guinea pig) is the source of this 401-nucleotide long non-coding RNA. RefSeq lists it as uncharacterized. The record is from RefSeq and is a predicted model, not a curated record. The transcript has 3 exons. NCBI's taxonomy places the organism in Eukaryota, Metazoa, Chordata, Mammalia, Rodentia, Caviidae.
GUGAGGUUGGGGAAUCCGGGCUGAAGGUGGCGUCAGGGCUGCAGGACACCGCUGCCACCUGCUCCGCCUGAGGAAAUGCCUAUGUAUUUGAGGGUGGCCUCCAGCUCACAGUUUGCUCCUGCCUCAGCCUCCGGAGGGCAGGGACUACAGGACUGGAGGCAGAAUCCAGGGCCCCCUUGCCAGGCAAAUGUGUGAGCGCCCACCAGACCUCAGCAGCAAACCCGGGACCUCGUGGGCAACUCCUCCACCUCCUUCUUUUGAGAAUGACAGUUUUGGGUUUGGGUGUGGUCCCAAUGCCUGUAAUUACAGAACUCCCAAGGCUGAGGCAGGAGAAUCACAAAUUUUAGCCCAGGGAAAGUUAGUGAGUUUGCAAGAUUCUGUCUCAAAAAAAAAGAUGGGUG